AGCUUAAAGUUUUAUUUUAAGUGAAAUCUGCCCACUGAUUUAUUAAAUGGCCGCAGUACUUUGACUGUGCUAAGGUAGCAUAAUCAAUUGGCUUUUGAAUGAAGUCUAGAAUGAAGGGGUUAAUGAAAUCUAGCUUUUUUUAUUAAAGACUAUAUUAAAAUUACUUUGUAAGUGAAAAAGCUUACAUUUAAUAAAAGACGAGAAGACCCUAAGAGUUUAAUUUUUGUUGGGGCGACAUUUAACUAAACUUUUAUGAUUAUCUUAGAAUAGGUUUUCUAAGAACAGAGAAACUACCUUAGGGAUAACAGCAUAAUCUAUUUAUAUGGCUUAUGACCUCGAUGUUGGAUUAGGUAUUUUUAAAAACAGAGUUUUUAAAUUUUUAGUUCUGUUCGAACCUUUUUACCUACGUGAUC
RNAcentral lists this ribosomal RNA (413 nucleotides) under Ilbia ilbi. RNAcentral describes it as "partial 16S ribosomal RNA". It matches the Rfam family "Archaeal large subunit ribosomal RNA", at positions 1920 to 2674 of the family's 2987-position model. The record is from RNAcentral. Lineage: Eukaryota; Metazoa; Mollusca; Gastropoda; Runcinacea; Ilbiidae.